Lontra canadensis (Northern American river otter) is the source of this 1243-nucleotide long non-coding RNA. RefSeq lists it as uncharacterized. NCBI's taxonomy places the organism in Eukaryota, Metazoa, Chordata, Mammalia, Carnivora, Mustelidae. The record is from RefSeq and is a predicted model, not a curated record. The transcript has 3 exons.
UUGAGGCGACUGGGGUGCUGAGGAACGGCCGCAGGAGGAGGAGGCCGGUGGACGAGGGGCGGGCAGCUCUGGAGCCACGCAGGGUCGGGGAGCCGAGCGCGUCCGAAAGCGGCGGGAGGGGCGACCGGGACUCCGCGCUCCCGGCUGGUGCGGGUGGAGCGGCCGCCGCCUGCGGGGCCCAGUCGGACGCGGGCCUCGCGUCCCCGCCGCAGGCUGGCGGACGAGUAUUCGGGUGCGAGUCAGAACGGGGAAACGUGUCGCGUAAGUACAAAUAGUGGGGCUGAGAAUCGGCCGCUGAACACUGCCAAAAUGGAAUGCGUUAUUCCGACUGGAAGUCUGUUCUCAUGAAUGGCGACAGAAAGACCGAGCGUGCAGCCUGCUGACCGUCCUAGGAACGACGGGAACACACACACACCGUUACCAUACUAGAGGCCUCGGACCGGAUCCCCCCCAGCCACUCCGGAGGAGAGUGGAGCCUCGGCCAUGAGCUGCUGGUGAGGGUGGAAGGCCAGCAGGGGUCCCCGAAAGGCCCCUCACUGGCGGGUGGUAGCCACAACCCCAGGAAGUGGUCAGCUCAACUCCCCUCCUCCCACAGCAGCUCUCACAAGGCCACCGCCGAAGUUCUAAGUGCCAUGUCCGACCCCUGCCCCAAUUCCACAUUCUUCGUCUGGAUCGUUUACUACUAUGGGUCAUCUUAGAGUCAGGGUAGGAGCCCUUGGGCCUCUCCUGGUGACUGCACUUUCCUGUUCUGAGACUUGAUGCCUUGAAAGUGAGUCCCCAGAGCCCAGCCUUUUUUCCAAGUACAGGGGACAUUUCACUCGCUGUAACUGCUGAGUCCUUGCACCACGCCCUUCAGAAGUGGACAGAAAGGAUUUUAAUUGCCCAGCAAGAGAGAGAGAGAUGCUGCGUGCCGCUGGUUCAUCGCCCUGCAGAGCCAGUGACAACAGAGGUCUGCUAAUUCACUUAUCACCACAAAGUUCGGUCUCUGAGCCAGAGUCCCUCUUGCCUUCUGCCAAGCUGCCAGCAGCUCUGGGGAAGAUGAAGGAACUGAGCACUGAGAGGUCGUGUCCUCAAGGCAGCUGGUAGAGGGAGAUGCCAGGGUGGGAACUCUGUCCGUCUUCAUGGCCGCACCCCAGCUUUGAUUGUUUUAACUCCCAGUGAAUGGCCCAUGGCAUGUACUAGGCACUGAGAGUGUCCUUUUUAUUUUUAUAAGUAAGUCAAAACCUGCAUUUCAUAUUUUGCA